AGGUAGCGAAAUUCCUUGUCAGGUAAGUUCUGACCCGCACGAAAGGCGUAAUGAUCUGGGUACUGUCUCGACCAUAGACUCGGUGAAAUCUUAAUACCUGUGAAAAUGCAGGUUACCCGCGACUGGACGGAAAGACCCCGUGGAGCUUUACUGUAGCUUGAUAUUGGAAUUCGGUGAAUUAUGUAGAGGAUAGGUGGGAGACGUUGAAACUAAGACGCUAGUCUUAGCGGAGUCAACCUUGGAAUACCACCCUUAAUUUAUUGGAUUUCUAACCUAGGACCAUUAUCUGGUUCAGGGACAGUGUCUGGUGGGCAGUUUGACUGGGGCGGUCGCCUCCUAAAAUGUAACGGAGGCGCCCAAUGGUUCCCUCAGAAUGGUUGGAAAUCAUUCAUAGAGCGUAAAGGUAUAUAGGGAGCUUGACUGCGAGACCUACAAGUCGAGCAGGUGCGAAAGCAGGGCUUAGUGAUCAGGCGGUUUCUGUAUGGAAAGGCCGUCGCUUAACGGAUAAAAGUUACCCCGGGGAUAACAGGCUGAUACCACCCAAUAGUUCACAUAGACGGUGGUGUUUGGCACCUCGAUGUCGGCUCGUCAUAUCCUGGAGGUGGAGUCGCUUCCAAGGGUUGGGCUGUUCGCCCAUUAAAAUGGCACGCGAGCUGGGUUCAGAACGUCGUGAGACAGUUCGGUCCCUAUCCGUCGUGGGCGCAGGAAAAUUGAGGAGAGCUAUCCUUAGUACGAGAGGACCGGGAUGGACCUACCUCUGGUGUAUCUGUUGUCAUGCCAGUGGCAGUGCAGAGUAGCUAUGUAGGGAAGGGAUAAACGCUGAAAGCAUCUAAGCGUGAAGCCCCCUCCAAGAUGAGUUUUCCCAUUGUUUUAAACAAGUAAAAUCCCAAAAAGACUAUUUGGUUGAUAGGCUAGAAGUGUAAGUGUAGCGAUACAUUGAGCGGACUAGUACUAAUAGAUUGAGGAUUUAACCAU
RNAcentral lists this ribosomal RNA (975 nucleotides) under human gut metagenome. RNAcentral describes it as "bacterial LSU rRNA". It matches the Rfam family "Bacterial large subunit ribosomal RNA", at positions 1954 to 2925 of the family's 2925-position model. The record is from RNAcentral.